Molecule: ribosomal RNA, 162 nt
Filed under: uncultured bacterium
Lineage: Bacteria
Description: partial 16S ribosomal RNA
Rfam family: Bacterial small subunit ribosomal RNA
Source: RNAcentral
UAGGGAAUUUUCGUCAAUGGGCGCAAGCCUGAACGAGCGAUGCCGCGUGAGUGAAGAAGGCCUUCGGGUCGUAAAGCUCUGUUGCGGGGGAAAAAAGGCAACUACAGGAAAUGGUGGAUGACAGAUGGUGCCCCGCCAGAAAGUCACGGCUAACUACGUGCC